GACGUAGGAUGCAAGCGUUGUCCGGAAUUAUUGGGCGUAAAGAGUUCGUAGGCGGUUAUUUAAGUCUGGUGUUAAAUACUGGCGCUCAACGUCGGCAUGGCAUCAGAAACUGGAUGGCUAGAGUGUGGCAGAGGUCAAGGGAAUUCCAGGUGUAGCGGUGAAAUGCGUAGAUAUCUGGAGGAACACCGGCGGCGAAAGCGCUUGACUGGGCCAUAACUGACGCUGAGGAACGAAAGCCGGGGGAGCAAAAGGG
RNAcentral lists this ribosomal RNA (253 nucleotides) under uncultured bacterium. Its description in RNAcentral is "partial 16S ribosomal RNA". It matches the Rfam family "Bacterial small subunit ribosomal RNA", at positions 524 to 776 of the family's 1533-position model. The record is from RNAcentral.